RNAcentral lists this ribosomal RNA (513 nucleotides) under Mycolicibacterium neoaurum. RNAcentral describes it as "bacterial SSU rRNA". It matches the Rfam family "Bacterial small subunit ribosomal RNA", at positions 19 to 549 of the family's 1533-position model. The record is from RNAcentral. Lineage: Bacteria; Bacillati; Actinomycetota; Actinomycetes; Mycobacteriales; Mycobacteriaceae.
UUGGUUCAGGACGAACGCUGGCGGCGUGCUUAACACAUGCAAGUCGAACGGAAAGGCCCUUCGGGGUACUCGAGUGGCGAACGGGUGAGUAACACGUGGGUGAUCUGCCCUGCACUUUGGGAUAAGCCUGGGAAACUGGGUCUAAUACCGAAUAUGAUCAUCGGCUUCAUGGUCGGUGGUGGAAAGCUUUUGCGGUGUGGGAUGGGCCCGCGGCCUAUCAGCUUGUUGGUGGGGUAAUGGCCUACCAAGGCGACGACGGGUAGCCGGCCUGAGAGGGUGACCGGCCACACUGGGACUGAGAUACGGCCCAGACUCCUACGGGAGGCAGCAGUGGGGAAUAUUGCACAAUGGGCGCAAGCCUGAUGCAGCGACGCCGCGUGAGGGAUGACGGCCUUCGGGUUGUAAACCUCUUUCAGCACAGACGAAGCGCAAGUGACGGUAUGUGCAGAAGAAGGACCGGCCAACUACGUGCCAGCAGCCGCGGUAAUACGUAGGGUCCGAGCGUUGUCCGGA